AGUGAACGCUGGCGGUAGGCCUAACACGUGCAAGUCGAACGGCAGCACAGUAAGAGCUUGCUCUUACGGGUGGCGAGUGGCGGACGGGUGAGGAAUACAUCGGAAUCUACUUUUUCGUGGGGGAUAACGUAGGGAAACUUACGCUAAUACCGCAUACGACCUACGGGUGAAAGCAGGGGAUCUUCGGACCUUGCGCGAUUGAAUGAGCCGAUGUCGGAUUAGCUAGUUGGCGGGGUAAAGGCCCACCAAGGCGACGAUCCGUAGCUGGUCUGAGAGGAUGAUCAGACACACUGGAACUGAGACACGGUCCAGACUCCUACGGGAGGCAGCAGUGGGGAAUAUUGGACAAUGGGCGCAAGCCUGAUCCAGCCAUACCGCGUGGGUGAAGAAGGCCUUCGGGUUGUAAAGCCCUUUUGUUGGGAAAGAAAAGCAGCAGGUUAAUACCCCGCUGUUCUGACGGUACCCAAAGAAUAAGCACCGGCUAACUUCGUG
This 492-nucleotide ribosomal RNA is filed under the name uncultured bacterium. Its description in RNAcentral is "partial 16S ribosomal RNA". It matches the Rfam family "Bacterial small subunit ribosomal RNA", at positions 29 to 507 of the family's 1533-position model. The record is from RNAcentral.